GAUGAAGAACGCAGCGAAAUGCGAUAAGUAAUGUGAAUUGCAGAAUUCAGUGAAUCAUCGAAUCUUUGAACGCACAUUGCGCCCGCCAGUAUUCUGGCGGGCAUGCCUGUUCGAGCGUCAUUACAACCCUCAGGCCCCCGGGCCUGGCGUUGGGGAUCGGCGGAAGCCCCCUGCGGGCACAACGCCGUCCCCCAAAUACAGUGGCGGUCCCGCCGCAGCUUCCAUUGCGUAGUAGCUAACACCUCGCAACUGGAGAGCGGCGCGGCCACGCCGUAAAACACCCAUCUUCUGAAUGUUGACCUCGAAUCAGGUAGGAAUACCCGCUGAACUUAAGCAUAUCAAUAAGCGGAGGA
Molecule: unclassified non-coding RNA, 353 nt
Filed under: soil metagenome
Description: partial contains 5.8S ribosomal RNA, internal transcribed spacer 2, and large subunit ribosomal RNA
Rfam family: 5.8S ribosomal RNA (bases 1-120)
Source: RNAcentral